RNAcentral lists this long non-coding RNA (1009 nucleotides) under Ananas comosus (pineapple). RNAcentral's name for it is "long non-coding RNA (ACOM_LNC033831)". The record is from RNAcentral. Lineage: Eukaryota; Viridiplantae; Streptophyta; Magnoliopsida; Poales; Bromeliaceae.
GUCCACGGAGAUUUUCUAACGCAUCAAACCCCGUGGAAGAUUGAACUAUAAAUGAAUACGAUCUUUAAUUUGUUGGAUUAAAUAGGCCAAUAUUCUGUCCUGUGGUGGGAGGCCAUAUAGGCAGAGUCAUUUUCAAAAUGGCAUGAGGCUGGGUUGGGCCGAGUCAUAUUCGAAGUGGCGUGAGGCUGAUUCGGCCGAGUCACAAUCGAGACCCGUGGGCUAUAUCUGUACGUUUUAAGUGAAUUGGUUGCGUAUUUCUAACAGCUCGAAUUUUUGGGAUUAAUGGUUAGCAUCAACGAUCCGACAAGUGGUAUCAGAGCCAGUGGUCACGGGUUUGAUUCCCGCAUACUGUAAAUAUGUGCAGGUGCUGGAUGGGGGAUUGUUGGUUUAAAUGGACCAGCAUUCUGCAAUGUAGCGGAAGGUCAUGUGGGCCAAAUCAUGUUCGAAAUUGCGUGAGGCUAGGUUGGGCCGAGUAAUGCGGAAGGUCAUGUGGGCCAAAUCAUGUUCGAAAUGACGUGAGGCUAGAUUGGGCCGAGUAAUGUUUGAUGUGGUGUGAGGCUGGUUGGGCCGAAUCACAAUCGAGAUCCGUGGGCGCUGUAUCUGUGCGCUUUAAGGUACCGUUUGGUUCGAGUAUAAGAAAGAACUAGCUAUUACAGGAAUAGAUACAAGUAUGGGGAUAAAAAAAAUAGCGUUUGGAUAGAUAAUAUGGAAUAAGAAAAAUAUUAGGUAGUUUUGUAUAGAAAAUGGAGGUGUUGGUGGGAAUAGUUAUAACCGGUUAUUAUAGGUAACCGAGAACUACUGUUCUCGGAUAAAAAAUUAGUAUUUGGGUAUAAAGGGGGAUAAGGGCCUAUCCCUAUCCCUAUCUCCUAACCAAACACUGUCUAAGUGAAUUAGUUGUAUAUUUUUAACAGCUCAAGCUUUUGGGAUUAAUGGUUAGCGCCAAUGAUCCGACAUAAUUUAUCGUUCAAGAUCCUCUAGAAGCAAUAGGCUAAUGAAAGAUAUGAUUUCU